This 301-nucleotide ribosomal RNA is filed under the name uncultured bacterium. RNAcentral describes it as "partial 16S ribosomal RNA". It matches the Rfam family "Bacterial small subunit ribosomal RNA", at positions 508 to 808 of the family's 1533-position model. The record is from RNAcentral.
CAAGCCGCCUCGGUAAUACAGAGGGUACAAGCGUUAAUCGGAAUUACUGGGCGUAAAGCGCGCGUAGGUGGUUCGCCAAGUUGGAUGUGAAAUCCCCGGGCUCAACCUGGGAACUGCAUCCAAAACUGGCGAGCUAGAGUAUGGUAGAGGGUGGUGGAAUUUCCUGUGUAGCGGUGAAAUGCGUAGAUAUAGGAAGGAACACCAGUGGCGAAGGCGACUACCUGGACUGAUACUGACACUGAGGUGCGAAAGCGUGGGGAGCAAACAGGAUUAGAUACCCCGGUAGUCCCUGUCUCUUAUA